RNAcentral lists this non-coding RNA (27 nucleotides) under Cricetulus griseus (Chinese hamster). The record is from RNAcentral. Lineage: Eukaryota; Metazoa; Chordata; Mammalia; Rodentia; Cricetidae.
UGGGAUACAUGCAGACAGAUCAUUGUA